AUUAAUAUCCCAUAAUAUCAUAAAAACACAUGUUUUAAUGAUUAAAGCUUCGGCGGAAAAGGAUGGGCAUGCGUCCUAUUAGUUAGUUGGUGAGGUAAUGGCUCACCAAGACUACGAUAUCUAGGGGGUCUGAGAGGAUGAUCCCCCACACUGGUACUGAGACACGGACCAGACUCCUACGGGAGGCAGCAGUGAGGAAUAUUGGUCAAUGGACGAAAGUCUGAACCAGCCAUGUCGCGUGAAGGAUGAAUGCCCUACGGGUUGUAAACUUCUUUUAUAUAGGAAGAAACCUCUUUACGUGUAAAAAGCUGACGGUACCUAACGAAUAAGCACCGGCUAACUCCGUGCCAGCAGCCGCGGUAAUACGGAGGGUGCAAGCGUUAUCCGGAUUCACUGGGUUUAAAGGGUGCGUAGGCGGAAUAAUUAGUCAGUGGUGAAAGCCUACAGCUUAACUGUAGAAUUGCCAUUGAUACUGUUAUUCUUGAGUAUAGUUGAGGUGGGCGGAAUGUGUCAUGUAGCGGUGAAAUGCAUAGAUAUGACACAGAACACCGAUUGCGAAGGCAGCUCGCUAAACUAUAACUGACGCUGAGGCACGAAAGCGUGGGGAGCGAACAGGAUUAGAUACCCUGGUAGUCCACGCCGUAAACGAUGAUCACUCGCUGUUGGCGAUACACAGUCAGCGGCCAAGCGAAAGUAAUAAGUGAUCCACCUGGGGAGUACGGUCGCAAGACUGAAACUCAAAGGAAUUGACGGGUGCCCGCACAAGCGGUGGAGCAUGUGGUUUAAUUCGAUGAUACGCGAGGAACCUUACCUGGGCUUAAAUGCAGAACGACAGACUGGGAAACCAGUCUCCUUCUUCGGACGGUCUGCAAGGUGCUGCAUGGUUGUCGUCAGCUCGUGCCGUGAGGUGUCGGGUUAAGUCCCAUAACGAGCGCAACCCCUAUCUUUAGUUGCUAACAGGUUAAGCUGAGGACUCUAGAGAAACUGCCAGUGCAAGCGGUGAGGAGGUGGGGAUGACGUCAAGUCAGCACGGCCCUUACGUCCAGGGCUACACACGUGCUACAAUGGCCAGUACAACGGGCAGCUACCCCGCGAGGGGAUGCGAAUCUCGAAAGCCGGUCUCAGUUCGGAUCGAAGUCUGCAACUCGACUUCGUGAAGCUGGAAUCGCUAGUAAUCGCGCAUCAGCCAUGGCGCGGUGAAUACGUUCCCGGGCCUUGUACACACCGCCCGUCAAGCCAUGGAAGUUGGGGGUACCUGAAGUCCGUCACCGAAAGGAGCGGCCUA
RNAcentral lists this ribosomal RNA (1285 nucleotides) under uncultured prokaryote. RNAcentral's name for it is "partial 16S ribosomal RNA". It matches the Rfam family "Bacterial small subunit ribosomal RNA", at positions 162 to 1459 of the family's 1533-position model. The record is from RNAcentral.